UACGUAGGGGGCAAGCGUUGUCCGGAAUUAUUGGGCGUAAAGAGCUCGUAGGCGGUGUGUCGCGUCGGCCGUGAAAACCUGGGGCUCAACUCUGGGCGUGCGGUCGAUACGGGCAUCACUGGAGUUCGGCAGGGGAGACUGGAAUUCCUGGUGUAGCGGUGAAAUGCGCAGAUAUCAGGAGGAACACCGGUGGCGAAGGCGGCAUCCUGGACCAACACUGACGCUGAGUGAGCGAAAGCCAGGGGAGCAAACGGG
This 255-nucleotide ribosomal RNA is filed under the name uncultured bacterium. RNAcentral's name for it is "partial 16S ribosomal RNA". It matches the Rfam family "Bacterial small subunit ribosomal RNA", at positions 524 to 776 of the family's 1533-position model. The record is from RNAcentral.